This is an RNA transcript of Drosophila ananassae, 4920 nucleotides long. It is a transcript of the gene named homeobox protein onecut, with no coding region annotated. The record is from RefSeq and is a predicted model, not a curated record. The transcript is spliced from 5 exons. NCBI's taxonomy places the organism in Eukaryota, Metazoa, Arthropoda, Insecta, Diptera, Drosophilidae.
GGUUUGGUAUCUGCUUUUCACAACCCCCAGCAAUAAGGUGGUGUUUUACGGCUGUUCGUUUUACUUCCAUUCCAAUUUUUUAGGUUUGAUUCCGUUCAGUUGGAAUUAGGUGUAAUUCGCGUACGGCUGAAACUAAAUAUAUUGCGGUGGACAAAUAAAGAAGGUUUCGGAAAAAUUACCCAUAUGGUUGUGCAUGUGUGAAUAAGUAUACACGCAUGUACAUGCGUAGAAAAUUUCUCAAGUAAAUUUUUAAUAGAAAUUUUUAAAGGAAAAGAGACUUUGUCCUGUCGAAACUGCCAAGGUUCUGUCGUCAAGUUAUCAUUUAGAAAAUUUCUAUUUUGUUGUCUAUUUAGAUAAGAUAUAUUUUCCUCAAAUUGUGUAGCAUAUUGCUUUUAAAAAGAUGUAAGAUAACAAGCGAUCAGAACAACAGUGAAUAGUUAAAAAAUGCCUUAAAACGGCAUACCUGAAAAAAGGAUGCCCUUUAAACGGAAAUUCGAUAUAUGUAUUUUCAAAGUGCUAGCAAACCUGACACCAUGUUUUUGGUUUUUAUAUAAACUCUUUGAUGCACAAUAAAGUUGUCCUUCAUAUUUGUAAGGAAUGGACUCUCUAAAUGAAAUAAUAAACCGCCAAAUAUAUGACGAGCGAAUGAUUAACAAUGCCAAUGAGUAUAUCACAGUUGGAAAUAAUUCAGAAUCGCAAUCUCAGUGUCAGUCUAAACUGCUUAUACAUCCUGAAGAAAAUUCCAACUUUAAAGACUCACAUGCCAUGUCCACGCAAAAUUUUAUUGCAACGAAUAUUUCAAGUGGCAAUAGAAAAUGUGGCUCAGAGUGCGCCUCUAGGCGGGAUUCUGUUGAUAUGGUCAUUGUCGAUUUGGGCCAACAAAAUGAACAGGCAGCUUAUCAGACUGAUUCGCGAUACAAUUCAGAACGGUUGGUAUUGCCUUUGGGAUUACUACCAGGAGGUCAUGAGCAGGAGUGCAAUGCUCCCAUAGUUAGCAGCCCAAUAGAUUUUGCCGCAUCAGAUAUAAGCUUAGAUUCGCUGACUGUGGAAACUAUAUCACACGCUGUACUUCCUCAAAUGAAGCAGGAGUCCAAGCCUGAUAUAGUUAACUCCAGAAGGCAUGAACGGGCAAAUAGGUUCAAUCGAAUUGAAGUAGAUUCACCUAGCGGUCAUAUGAGACUUGGGGUUGAAGUUAAUGAAAUGGAGGACUUAUCUUCUGACGAAGGAGGAAGCGAUGACGAAGAGGUUACCCUUAAUCAACACCACCAACAACUUCUAGAACAACACCCACAUGGUCCGCAAAGACUCCACUCGCAGCAUCAACCUCAUAUCGAAACACACCAUGGGCAGCUACACAGAUCAACUGAGCUGGAUUUGGCGCUAAAUGGCGACCACGACGAGACUCUAUCAGUUAUAGUUCAGACACAAGAAAGUGAAAAAGAUUUACAUGAAGAAAGCCAUAGAGAAGUUGUUGACGACGCGGAUGCGGAUGAGGAAGAUGAAGAUGAUGAUGAUCGAGAUGCGGGGGAACGUGCACACUUACUCAGCCCUGUCUUAGACCAUAGCUCGUAUCAAACACUUACCUCGGUCAAUGAUCGUUUAUCUCCACCUGAGUUUAGUCCAACUUCAUAUGCCACGUUAACUCCAAUCCAACCCCUACCUCCUAUAUCAACAAUGUCUGAAAAAUUCGCAUAUUCUGGUCAUAUUUCUGGAAGAGAAGAAGACGGCAAUAAUAGGAGAGGUGGAGGAGUACCUAAUGGUACGGAAAGUAGCCAUUUAUCUGGUGAUAAUGCAUGCGUUAGUGGCAAUGGUAAUACCUCUAGGUGUGCCAAUAAUGACUGCAGUUCUGUCCCUGUUCUUUCCAUUCCUUUAGGCAAUAAUCAACUUGGUCUGAGUGUAUUAAAUCAAGCUCAAUCGUCAUUUUCUUCUUAUGAAAAGUUAUCCUCUAUGGUUUCUCCAUCGCACCAUACUUAUGCCACUUCACCUUCGAGUGGCCUCCCUGAGAUGGUUGUUUCCUGUGACUUGCAGGCUCACAAUGCCUCGGGACUUCCACUAAAUGUUAAUGGCCAAAAGAAGAAUUCAACGCAACAUUUGCAGGGACACUGCCAUGAACAUGAGCAGGUUCUUGGGCAUGGUCAUGUAAAUAGGCAUAAACUAAAUCACGAACAAUGCCAUGGACUUCAAUUACUGCCAGUAACAUUACCAAAACCAGUCGUUUGCCUGUCACCAACUAGAGUUAUUGGCGAAAAUGUUUUAGUAAGUCAUUAUGAAACGCCUUUCAGCGGAAACCACCAUGACCACGAGCUUGUGUUGGGAACGACCUCCUCCACUAGCUCUACAGUUGGAUUACAACAUAGCCCUACACUGAGUCCGCACUCUCUCUCAGGUGGCUCCGUAUUGUCGAUGCCAUUGCAUUCACCUACAUCGGCUGUGAAUCUUCCCCACAUUAAUAAUUCUAUGUCAAGUUUAUCGGUAGUUGUAUCCUUAACACCAACUCCACCACCUCCUGUAGAAAUACAAAAAAUCAGCCGUCGAUCAUCGUCUUCUCAGAAGCCACAAUACUUUUUAUCAAAGGGUCAAGAAGUCAAUGCAUCAGCAGAUCAGUCUAGUCCACAUGGCAUUACAUCUUCAAACUUGAGUAGUGCCACCCAUCAACCCAAUUCAACUCGCUUACAUGAAUUUCAAGGAGCUCAACCACAAAUAAAAGCGAAUGCCUCUAGUUCUCCCAAGCAUGUAUCUACAGCUUGCGGAGGGUCUAGCCGAUCUGCCGUUUCCAGUGACGUGGAAGAGAUCAAUACGAAAGAACUGGCACAGCGUAUUUCUGCUGAGCUUAAGAGAUAUAGUAUACCACAAGCUAUUUUUGCGCAACGUGUGUUAUGUCGCUCACAAGGUACCCUCUCAGAUCUACUUCGUAAUCCAAAGCCAUGGUCUAAGCUAAAAUCUGGCCGAGAAACAUUCCGAAGAAUGUACAAAUGGCUACAGGAACCGGAAUUUCAGCGCAUGUCUGCUCUUCGAAUGGCUGCCGCUCAAAUUCCUCAAAGAGCGCAGUUGGUAGCUGGAACGUCUUUAGGUUGUAUCUCUGGAUCAUCAGCAGUAUCCCCUGGCUCCACAGCUACUAUGGCCGUUAUGGAUUCCAAUAUUGCCUCUACAAUUUCUCCAAACGAUCUUCUAGAUGGAACUUCUGCAUCAAGUGCCCCCGGCUGUAAUGUCCCCAUCAGCAGCGUGAAUUGUCGGCGAAAGGAAGAGCCGCAAAUCGAGCAAAUAACACAGCCAAAAAAGCCACGCUUAGUCUUUACAGAUCUGCAGCGACGAACUUUACAAGCCAUUUUUAAAGAGACGAAAAGACCGUCGAAAGAAAUGCAAGUCACUAUAGCUCGGCAACUAGGAUUAGAGCCAACUACCGUGGGCAAUUUUUUUAUGAAUGCUCGUAGAAGAUCAAUGGAUAAAUGGCGUGAUGAUGAUAUAAAAAAUCAAACUCAUUUAAUUCAAAACCAUCAACCAGAAAGGGAUGGGCAGGAUGAAGACAGAAUUCACAGCCUUAGUCAAACACAAUGCUUGACCUCUAGCAAUAAUCACUCCAUAAGCAAUAGCUUAACUCGUGAUAGCUAUACACAUCUUCACCCAACAGCAUUGUCGCCACUUGAAACCUUUAAUGAGGAGGCUGACAUGGAGCUGGAAUUGGAAAGCCACGAUUUUGAUUUAGAAGAGAACCAUGGGGACAGCACUGACCAUCGAAGUGAAAUGUUGUGACAGCAUAAAUCCGGUACACGUCUAUUAACCAUUAAAAGAGAAAAUUUACAACCAUCGAUUGACCGAAGCUAUAUCCGCGCUAAUAGUAUCAUAUGUACACAAUCAAGUACGCACACUAAACUCAUUAGGAACUUAAUAAGGGUGAAACGAAGAGCAACGGAAUCAGACAACCAGCUAAUUGUAAAGAUGCCAGUUAUUGAUAAAGCUUUAAAGAAAGAUGACAAAUUUACAGCUUUCUUGACUGGAAACGGCCAAUAUUCUAAUGACAAUAUUCUAUGGCCAGUCAACUAUCGCCAUGACGUUAAUGAAGAAGACACCCAUAUCUGUUUUAAUGAGAUGAUGAAACCUAUUUAUAUAGACGAAUUAAAGGGUCGGAGAUUUUUACUUCAUUGCACUGGAUAAGAAAUUGGAAAUAAUAAAUUAUCAGUAUCGGGUAUCAUAAAGUUAACAAACUUUCUCUGUUUUCUUUAUUAUUCUUUAACUUAAUAAAUAUUGCUACAAUUUGUUCACAAAUAUAUAUAAUCAUUUAACUGUCGUUUCAGGUUAAGAUCUAGAGUUAAAAACAUUUUUUUAUUAAAUUAAUCAUUGAGAUUGGAUUGAUAUACCAUUCGUGUUGUAUGUAUGUAGAUAAAUUCGGUAACAAAGCUUAUGAAUGAAGAAGCUAAUGUAAAUGGAUUUAGAAAAUGUAUAAAAAAUCUAGUCAAAUUUAUUAUCAUAAAUAAUCACAUUUUCAAGAAAAGCGGAAGCAAAUAUCUGAAGCUUAAAUGUUUAAGCUUUAAACAAGCUAAAAUAUUCAUAGUUAAAAAUAAUAAUACUAAAAAAAUGUAUGUAAAAUAAAAUGAAUUAAAUAUUCAAUUCAGCUAAUUUAUUAUCACCAAAGAUUAUAUAUAUAUAUUUAAAUACUCAAUUGGUUUAUAUAUUCUAUGCUUUUAUGCUAUUUAUGAAAAAUACGUCUGUAAAUGUAAGCUAGUCAAUUUAAAAUAAAUUAAAUUUUUCAACAUAAGUAAAAUAUAGGGAAAGAUGGCCAAAUAUUAAAAACAUUCUUUCCGCAAGUGUGUAAACAAAAAUGGCAAUAUUAAAUUAAAGGAAAAGGUAACUAUGUAUGUAAGUAGCAAUGUAUCUAUCGAUCGCCUUAUAUGUACUUAAAAACUCAAUAAAAUUUAGUAUGUA